Molecule: ribosomal RNA, 478 nt
Filed under: Vibrio splendidus 12B01
Lineage: Bacteria; Pseudomonadati; Pseudomonadota; Gammaproteobacteria; Vibrionales; Vibrionaceae
Description: bacterial LSU rRNA
Rfam family: Bacterial large subunit ribosomal RNA
Source: RNAcentral
AUGGUUAAGUGACUAAGCGUACACGGUGGAUGCCUUGGCAGUCAGAGGCGAUGAAAGGCGUAAUAACUUGCGAUAAGCCCAGAUUAGGUAGUAAUAACCUUUUGAGUCUGGGAUUCCUGAAUGGGGAAACCCACUUGCAUAAGCAAGUAUCCUGUUGUGAAUACAUAGCAACAGGAGGCAAACCGGGGGAACUGAAACAUCUAAGUACCCCGAGGAAGAGAAAUCAACCGAGAUUCCGAAAGUAGCGGCGAGCGAAAUUGGAUUAGCCCUUAAGCUUUUAAUGAUGCACGUGAAGAGUCUGGAAAGUCUCGCAAUAAAGGGUGAUAGCCCCGUAACCGACACAUCAUAAUCAGUGAAAACGAGUAUGGCGGGACACGUGAUAUCCUGUCUGAAUAUGGGGGGACCAUCCUCCACGCUAAAUACUACUGACUGACGAUAGUGAACCAGUACCGUGAGGGAAAGGCGAAAAGAACCCCUG